GAUACUUCCACCUCCAAGUGUAACUGGUGCUCUUCAUAUAGGCCAUGGUCUUACUACUGCAAUACAGGAUACAAUUGUCCGUUGGCGGAGAAUGUCGGGCUAUAACGUUCUGUGGGUGCCUGGAAUGGACCAUGCUGGCAUAGCAACCCAGGUGGUUGUGGAGAAAAAGUUGAUACGUGAGAACAAUGUAACAAGGCAUGAUAUUGGACGCGAGAGAUUUGUUUCUGAGGU
Molecule: non-coding RNA, 231 nt
Organism: Musa acuminata subsp. malaccensis (wild Malaysian banana)
Lineage: Eukaryota; Viridiplantae; Streptophyta; Magnoliopsida; Zingiberales; Musaceae
Source: RefSeq, a predicted model, not a curated record